GGCGUGCUUACACAUGCAGUCGAACGAUGAAGCCCAGCUUGCUGGGUGGAUUAGUGGCGAACGGGUGAGUAACACGUGAGUAACCUGCCCUUGACUCUGGGAUAAGCCUGGGAAACUGGGUCUAAUACUGGAUAUGACUUCUCACCGCAUGGUGGGGGGUGGAAAGAUUUAUUGGUCUUGGAUGGACUCGCGGCCUAUCAGCUUGUUGGUGAGGUAAUGGCUCACCAAGGCGACGACGGGUAGCCGGCCUGAGAGGGUGACCGGCCACACUGGGACUGAGACACGGCCCAGACUCCUACGGGAGGCAGCAGUGGGGAAUAUUGCACAAUGGGCGCAAGCCUGAUGCAGCGACGCCGCGUGAGGGAUGACGGCCUUCGGGUUGUAAACCUCUUUCAGUAGGGAAGAAGCGAAAGUGACGGUACCUGCAGAAGAAGCGCCGGCUAACUACGUGCCAGCAGCCGCGGUAAU
Molecule: ribosomal RNA, 468 nt
Filed under: uncultured bacterium
Lineage: Bacteria
Description: bacterial SSU rRNA
Rfam family: Bacterial small subunit ribosomal RNA
Source: RNAcentral